This is a long non-coding RNA of Artibeus jamaicensis (Jamaican fruit-eating bat), 358 nucleotides long. RefSeq lists it as uncharacterized. The record is from RefSeq and is a predicted model, not a curated record. The transcript has 3 exons. NCBI's taxonomy places the organism in Eukaryota, Metazoa, Chordata, Mammalia, Chiroptera, Phyllostomidae.
UGGGUGGCAGGUAGCGAGCCAGUCGGCCUCGGUCCGGUAACCCAUGGCAACCGCCCUGGUAACCCAUAGCAACUGCGCUGCGGAGAAAAAGAAAGAAAAAAACCGGCGUGGAGGGGGGCUGCGGACGGAUAACUGUGAACACUGGACAGUCCAGGAAAUCCAAGGAGACAGCUAACCAAUGGGACUUCAGCAGCUUGAAGACUGGACCGAGGCAGGUAAAACAACUACUGAAAGGCAGCCCCUGAGAAGGAUGGGGCAGAUCUGUGUGAACCCACUGAGAUUUGGGAAGAAAACUCAUGGAACAACUACAGUUAACUAAAUUUCAUUAAAAACAAAGAUAAAUACUUAAACUCAUCAA